AUAAACGAUGUCGACUUGGAGGUUGUGCCCUUGAGGCGUGGCUUCCGGAGCUAACGCGUUAAGUCGACCGCCUGGGGAGUACGGCCGCAAGGUUAAAACUCAAAUGAAUUGACGGGGGCCCGCACAAGCGGUGGAGCAUGUGGUUUAAUUCGAUGCAACGCGAAGAACCUUACCUGGUCUUGACAUCCACAGAACCCUGUAGAGAUACGGGGGUGCCUUCGGGAACUGUGAGACAGGUGCUGCAUGGCUGUCGUCAGCUCGUGUUGUGAAAUGUUGGGUUAAGUCCCGCAACGAGCGCAACCCUUAUCCUUUGUUGCCAGCGGUCCGGCCGGGAACUCAAAGGAGACUGCCAGUGAUAAACUGGAGGAAGGUGGGGAUGACGUCAAGUCAUCAUGGCCCUUACGACCAGGGCUACACACGUGCUACAAUGGCGCAUACAAAGAGAAGCGACCUCGCGAGAGCAAGCGGACCUCAUAAAGUGCGUCGUAGUCCGGAUUGGAGUCUGCAACUCGACUCCAUGAAGUCGGAAUCGCUAGUAAUCGUGGAUCAGAAUGCCACGGUGAAUACGUUCCCGGGCCUUGUACACACCGCCCGUCACACCAUGGGAGUGGGUUGCAAAAGAAGUAGGUAGCUUAACCUUCGGGAGGGCGCUUACCACUUUGUGAUUCAUGACUGGGGUGAAGUCGUAACAAGGUAACCGUAGGGGAACCUGCGGUUG
RNAcentral lists this ribosomal RNA (718 nucleotides) under Escherichia coli. Its description in RNAcentral is "bacterial SSU rRNA". It matches the Rfam family "Bacterial small subunit ribosomal RNA", at positions 802 to 1520 of the family's 1533-position model. Lineage: Bacteria; Pseudomonadati; Pseudomonadota; Gammaproteobacteria; Enterobacterales; Enterobacteriaceae. The record is from RNAcentral.